This 251-nucleotide ribosomal RNA is filed under the name uncultured prokaryote. RNAcentral's name for it is "partial 16S ribosomal RNA". It matches the Rfam family "Bacterial small subunit ribosomal RNA", at positions 525 to 775 of the family's 1533-position model. The record is from RNAcentral.
ACGUCUUUUUCUCGCUUUCUCCUGAAUUACUGGGCGUAAAGCGCACGCAGGCGGUCUUUUGGGUCUGACGUGAAAGCUCCUGGCUUAACUGGGAGAGGUCGUUCAAUACUACUGGACUAGAGAGUGGUAGAGGGAGGUGGAAUUCCGGGUGUAGUGGUGAAAUGCGUAGAUAUCCGGAGGAACACCAGUGGCGAAAGCGGCCUCCUGGACCAUUUCUGACGCUCAGACGCGAAAGCUAGGGUAGCGAACGG